CGACUCCAGGCAACCUCACCAGGCUCAGGUACCACAUUCUCGUGCUCACUCCUGCUGGGGUAACUUGUCUCCCGGUGGUGCCACGGACUCAGCUGAGGAGGAACGGUGCAGAGGCCUUAAUUACAGUUGUGUUAGCUUCUCUACACCCGAGACUCUGAUUCCUGCUGGUGCAAGAUGUCAUGGACACUGAAGAUCGUGUUGGUACUGGUGGCGUGCCUGGUGACUUGUGCCUCCGCCGGAGAUGAUGAAGAAGCCACUAAUGGCCUCACCAGGACGGUAAUCACAGUGCCGGUGGUGAACCAGACCUUGGGGACAGAAGAGAAGCUCGUCACUAUCGGUCAGGCAGAUCUGACAGCCCUGGCAGUUGUUAAGGCGGUCAUUUACACGGGACUGAUCCUUGGAGUUCUUCUCCUGUUCUCUGUGCUCAUCUUCGGUAUCAGCACGAGACUGUAUCCCGAGAAGGAACUGGAGCACCUGGAGUACUACGACGAUCACAAAUAUUACGGCUCUCAACGCCAUCCGCGGUCAGUAGUGGACGAUGUGUCCUUCCUCACUCAGGUCUUCAAGAGUAUCGACACCGUUGAGUCAGCCCUGGAUACAAUGAAGGUGGACCACCUGGCCUGCCGAGAGCUGGCUGUGUGUCACCUACAGCGUAUCGCCUCUAAGUUACCUUCACUUGGUUUACUCCUGCAGGUUAUCAGUCCGUCCAUCAGUGGUAUGGAGAAGUACAGGGAGGCACAGGAGGCUGGUGCUGCCCUGGAGGACUGCACACUGCUCUACUCUGAGUGUCCCACCUCCCUGGCCCGCUUCUUGAAGGGAGACCACACAGGCUAAAGGCCUUCAGGGACGUCUGACCACAAGCCUGUCUCUAACAUGAUUUUAAUGAUAGUUAUUCAAGUUGAUUCUAAUGAAGCAUGAAACUGGAACCUAUAAUCUAAAUCCAUCAAAAGAUUUACAAGUAAUCUUAUGCCACGAUAAGAGUAUCUAAAGACACACUGUAAAGGAUUCGAAUCUAUUUACUAAAGAGAUGUGUUAUCCAGUUAUAUGGAAUCUAUAAGAAAGUUUCCCCUUGCAUAGAUAAGCAGGGUACGUGAUGUGCUAUAAUUACUAUUACAUUUAUCUCAUUUAUAAGCCUGCCAGUUAAGCUAAGUUUACUUAUGGCCAGUAAAAACGUAGCAGCUCGCUGUACGUCUGUAACUAAACUAAGUCAUCACCAAAAAAGUGACCGAGACACAAAAUACUAGCUUGUUAUUUCUGUUUAAUUCUCUUAAGACCUUCUUGAGUAGUUACUUCACCAUGACUCGUCUACGAGUGACCAAUAUCGUGAUUUCACCAAGACGCUCACUUCCAUACUGGACACCGAACUCCUGCUUGCUGUAAACACUGUUAAGUUCAUUCACAGGUUCACAUAAACCAAAAAUAAACGUAUGAAAAUUUACUAAGAAUUUCAUGAAUGGGGACUAACUUCAGGAGAUGAUAAGACUGCCACUUAUUAAGAUUGCUAAAAAAGCUUUUUCUAACAUAGUAUUUCAAAGACUGCGUACAAUUUAACCUGAGAGUAUAAUAAUACAGAAUUUAUAAAGCCUUUCUCCUGUGGCACAUUAUAACAGAGUUCAUAAUGUUUAUUUGAUAAUGCACUAGUACCUUGUUACGUGCUUGGAGACCUUAGUCGUUGAAACGUAACAACGGAUUAUGAAGUCAACGAAACAUUUUGAACGGCAUGACUUCAUCCUCAACGACUAUACCUUAUUUCCUAUGUUUUUCUUUUAAGACUCACAUCCUAUACUGACUUGAAUUACCAGAUCUAUAUGAAGUUUCACAUAGAAGAAAGACUUUAACUCAGCUUAUUCCUGCCAGAGGAGACUUUAUUAUGAACUAACCAAAGGCUAAAUCGACGUAAUUCAAGCUAAUUUGAUCUGCUAAACGAAGGAGACGUAGACUUACUUUGAAUAAUUACAUACAAUUUUCACCAUACAUAACUGAAUUAUAUGCAAUAGUUAGCACUCACCUGACAAAAACACUGUAACCUGAAUGAAGAUAAACCAUUAUGACCGUCAGUAUAUUAAGAUGAAAAUUAAUCUCGAUUAUGACGACAAAUGAUUUGAUUCUAUCUUCCACUCCACCCUGUCUUUAAUACACUAACCUCACCAAUUGAGUGUACAGAUACUCGUAAUCUUGACGAAUAUUAUAUCGCCUUAGCAUGUUUGUAAAUAUAUAUACACAAACAGAUAUACUGACUUCUGGACUUGGUGAGACUUUACGUAAUGACUGACCAUAAUUCCCUCUUAAACUUUUAUAUACCAGAGUGAUCUAUGAAUUAACUAACUAUAUGAGAGAUACGGUAGGCCUCUUUACGCUGUUUUCUGAAAUAUUGGAGAAAUCUAAAAAUUCUUCGUUACUCAGACAUCAAUCAGUGACAUAGGUUCGAUGUAACAUUUGGAGUCGUUAGUGUUACAUUUCAUAGGAUUUUUUUUUAUUAAAACAAUUUUAAUAAUAAUCAAAUGUUUGGUCUCUAUAUGGCAUCUUGGUGAACUGUUUGUUUUCUUAUUUUCAAAUAUUUUUCAUAGGCUGAAGAUUUUAAGGAUUUGUUAUAAAGACAAAAGGUGUGAUGUACUGCUCAAGUUGCUGGAAUUUCUUAUGUGUGUGUGUGUGUGUGUGUGUGUGUGUGUGUGUGUGUGUGUGUGUGUGUGUGUGUGUGUGUGU
RNAcentral lists this unclassified non-coding RNA (2703 nucleotides) under Homarus americanus (American lobster). Its description in RNAcentral is "uncharacterized LOC121853889, transcript variant X2". The record is from RNAcentral. Lineage: Eukaryota; Metazoa; Arthropoda; Malacostraca; Decapoda; Nephropidae.